UGAUGCUUCUAAAAUACACAUGAGCCCAGUUGGUGUUGCAGUAUGGAUCCCCUCCACAAGAAUUGUAUUAAGUUAUAGCUGCCCAACUGUCACUUCGGUAUUCACAGGGGAAGCAAUUGCUAUACUUGAAGCUAUUUUAUUUAUUAAGUCCCAUGGCCUAAACAAUUCUAUUAUAUUAUCAGACUCCAAAAGCUGCCUUCAAUCCAUCCUCUCAAAUCCAUUUCGCUCAAAAAGUAGGUUUCCAAUUAUACUUAAGAUAAGAGAAAACUUGAAAGAGUGCUAUGAUCUCAACAUCAACAUAGUUCUAGCAUGGAUACCAGGCCAUGCAGGUAUAAUCGGCAAUGAAAAUGCUGAUGCUUGUGCCAGGUCAGCUGCUCAUACAGGUUCCCAACAACAUUCUCAAAUCUUCUCUCAUGACUUGUGCUCCACUUUGAAAAUAAAUAUGUUUGAGAGGUGGUCAAACAUCUGGCAGGUUUCCAAAACUGCUAAAGGCGUCUUUUAUGGUGAUAUACAACCUGUAAUCCCUUUAAAACCGUGGUUCUCGAAAUUUAGAUUCCCCAAUAAAUCAAUAAUAUCAACAGUUUGCCGGUUACGCUUAAACCACUCUUGCACUCCAGUAUUCCUAGCCAAAUUAAGAAUUAGAGACCAUUCUCUAUGUGAAUGUGGACUUGAUGAGGGAAAUGUAGACCAUUUAUUCUUUAAUUGCCCUUUAAUGAAGUCUUCCUUGUACAACUUUAUACCUCCUGAAAUCCCCCGCCCCACCUCCAUGAAAUGCCUCCUCACCUUUGUUUUCACUCCUUUUGUAAAUACUUUAUGUAUAAUAAGAAAAUAAAUCUGUUUUGAUUCUGGGCACUGGUCAUUACUAUAAUCACUUAUAAAUUCGUUUACACCGAUCAAAUGACACACUCUAAGCUUGUUGGUCUACUGAAACGUGACAUUGGCGAGUUGUGGUGCCCCUUCCACAGAAGCCACUAGAAAGAAUAGAAUAGAAUAGAAUUCGUCUUCUCCAAAGUGUAUAUUUUAACAGUACUGCACAGGUCAAACUGGAGAAGAGUGAGAGGUGUCCGCCAAGGCGACCCUAUUUCUGCUUAGUUCUUCACGGCAGUCCUAGAGAUGAUUUUCAGAAACGUUUUGGCCUAAAUAUAAACGGGGAAAAAUUUAACCAAUUUGCAGAUGACAAUAUUGUAUUAUCGGAGGGUGAAAACCAUCUAGAGCAAAUGUUGCAACAACUUGCAAACUAAAGUGCUAAAGCUUAAGGCUUGCAAAUAAAUGCGUCCAAAACAAAAAUCAUAACCAACUCCGGCACAACUGGUUCGAUAGUAGUUAAUAAUGAAAUAGUAGAAUAUGUCACAGAAUAAAUCUAUUUAGGACAAUUAUUAAUAACCCAUGAAAAUAACAUGAAGAAAGAAAUAAACAGACGCAUUUGUAAUACUUGGAAAAGAUACUGGUCCUUGAGUGAAACCAUGAAAGGCACCGAAAUAUCUAUGGGAAUAAAAGGAAAUGUCUGUAACACGUAUAUACCCUCGUGUCUAACAUCAUCAUCAGCCGGAAGACGUCCACUGCUGACAAGGGCCUCCCUCAAAGAUUUCCGCGACGAUCUUUCCUGAAUCAUCGAUCUUGACCAAAUCGUCGGUCCAUCUUGUGGAGGGCCAUGCCAACACUACGUCUUCUAGUACGUGGUCGCCAUUCGAGGACUUUACUGCCCCAGCGGCCAUCUGUCCGUCGAACUAUGUGCCUUGCCUACUGCCACUUCAGUUUCGUAAUCAUUUGGGCUUUGCCGGUGACUUUGGUCUAACAAUUGGAUGUCAAACUUGGGCUCCACCAGACCAUCUCUCAGAAAACCAGACUGGAUAAGAGUAGCUAGAGACUGAAUAAAGUGGAAAUCCUUAGAGGAGGCCUUUGUCGAGAGACAAUUAUUAGUUAAGUUUUAUUUAGACAAAAGAUAAGGUAGUUCUUAUAAUAAAGGCUAUUUUGUUUUA
Molecule: long non-coding RNA, 1979 nt
Organism: Leptidea sinapis
Lineage: Eukaryota; Metazoa; Arthropoda; Insecta; Lepidoptera; Pieridae
Exons: 2
Source: RefSeq, a predicted model, not a curated record